GAUGAACGCUGGCGGCGUGCCUAAUACAUGCAAGUCGAGCGAACGGACGAGAAGCUUGCUUCUCUGAUGUUAGCGGCGGACGGGUGAGUAACACGUGGAUAACCUACCUAUAAGACUGGGAUAACUUCGGGAAACCGGAGCUAAUACCGGAUAAUAUUUUGAACCGCAUGGUUCAAAAGUGAAAGACGGUCUUGCUGUCACUUAUAGAUGGAUCCGCGCUGCAUUAGCUAGUUGGUAAGGUAACGGCUUACCAAGGCAACGAUGCAUAGCCGACCUGAGAGGGUGAUCGGCCACACUGGAACUGAGACACGGUCCAGACUCCUACGGGAGGCAGCAGUAGGGAAUCUUCCGCAAUGGGCGAAAGCCUGACGGAGCAACGCCGCGUGAGUGAUGAAGGUCUUCGGAUCGUAAAACUCUGUUAUUAGGGAAGAACAUAUGUGUAAGUAACUGUGCACAUCUUGACGGUACCUAAUCAGAAAGCCACGGCUAACUACGUGCCAGCAGCCGCGGUAAUACGUAGGUGGCAAGCGUUAUCCGGAAUUAUUGGGCGUAAAGCGCGCGUAGGCGGUUUUUUAAGUCUGAUGUGAAAGCCCACGGCUCAACCGUGGAGGGUCAUUGGAAACUGGAAAACUUGAGUGCAGAAGAGGAAAGUGGAAUUCCAUGUGUAGCGGUGAAAUGCGCAGAGAUAUGGAGGAACACCAGUGGCGAAGGCGACUUUCUGGUCUGUAACUGACGCUGAUGUGCGAAAGCGUGGGGAUCAAACAGGAUUAGAUACCCUGGUAGUCCACGCCGUAAACGAUGAGUGCUAAGUGUUAGGGGGUUUCCGCCCCUUAGUGCUGCAGCUAACGCAUUAAGCACUCCGCCUGGGGAGUACGACCGCAAGGUUGAAACUCAAAGGAAUUGACGGGGACCCGCACAAGCGGUGGAGCAUGUGGUUUAAUUCGAAGCAACGCGAAGAACCUUACCAAAUCUUGACAUCUUUUGACAACUCUAGAGAUAGAGCCUUCCCCUUCGGGGGACAAAGUGACAGGUGGUGCAUGGUUGUCGUCAGCUCGUGUCGUGAGAUGUUGGGUUAAGUCCCGCAACGAGCGCAACCCUUAAGCUUAGUUGCCAUCAUUAAGUUGGGCACUCUAAGUUGACUGCCGGUGACAAACCGGAGGAAGGUGGGGAUGACGUCAAAUCAUCAUGCCCCUUAUGAUUUGGGCUACACACGUGCUACAAUGGACAAUACAAAGGGCAGCGAAACCGCGAGGUCAAGCAAAUCCCAUAAAGUUGUUCUCAGUUCGGAUUGUAGUCUGCAACUCGACUACAUGAAGCUGGAAUCGCUAGUAAUCGUAGAUCAGCAUGCUACGGUGAAUACGUUCCCGGGUCU
This 1372-nucleotide ribosomal RNA is filed under the name uncultured bacterium. RNAcentral's name for it is "bacterial SSU rRNA". It matches the Rfam family "Bacterial small subunit ribosomal RNA", at positions 28 to 1381 of the family's 1533-position model. The record is from RNAcentral.